CCUACGGGAGGCAGCAGUAGGGAAUUUUCCACAAUGGGCGAAAGCCUGAUGGAGCAACGCCGCGUGCAGGAUGAAGGCUUUCGGGUCGUAAACUGCUUUUGUAUAUGAAGAUAAUGACGGUAGUAUACGAAUAAGGAUCGGCUAACUCCGUG
This 152-nucleotide ribosomal RNA is filed under the name uncultured bacterium. RNAcentral describes it as "partial 16S ribosomal RNA". It matches the Rfam family "Bacterial small subunit ribosomal RNA", at positions 338 to 507 of the family's 1533-position model. The record is from RNAcentral.